Molecule: ribosomal RNA, 253 nt
Filed under: uncultured bacterium
Lineage: Bacteria
Description: partial 16S ribosomal RNA
Rfam family: Bacterial small subunit ribosomal RNA
Source: RNAcentral
UACAGAGGGUGCAAGCGUUGUUCGGAAUUACUGGGCGUAAAGCGCGCGUAGGUGGCUUCGUAAGUCCGCUGUGAAAGUCAAAGGCUCAACCUUUGAAAGCCGGUGGAUACUGCGGGGCUAGAGUACGGAAGAGGCGAGUGGAAUUCCUGGUGUAGCGGUGGAAUGCGCAGAUAUCAGGAGGAACACCAAUAGCGAAGGCAGCUCGCUGAGACGUUACUGACACUGAGGCGCGAAAGCGUGGGGAGCGAACAGG